Molecule: ribosomal RNA, 404 nt
Filed under: uncultured Neisseriaceae bacterium
Lineage: Bacteria; Pseudomonadati; Pseudomonadota; Betaproteobacteria; Neisseriales; Neisseriaceae
Description: bacterial SSU rRNA
Rfam family: Bacterial small subunit ribosomal RNA
Source: RNAcentral
AUUGAACGCUGGCGGCAUGCUUUACACAUGCAAGUCGAACGGUAACAGGGGAGCUUGCUCCUGCUGACGAGUGGCGAACGGGUGAGUAAUACAUCGGAACGUGCCAAUUAAUGGGGGAUAACUACUCGAAAGAGUGGCUAAUACCGCAUACGCUCUACGGAGGAAAGUGGGGGACUUUAGGGCCUCACGUUAUUUGAGCGGCCGAUGUCUGAUCAGCUAGUUGGUGGGGUAAAGGCCUACCAAGGCGACGAUCAGUAGCGGGUCUGAGAGGAUGAUCCGCCACACUGGGACUGAGACACGGCCCAGACUCCUACGGGAGGCAGCAGUGGGGAAUUUUGGACAAUGGGCGCAAGCCUGAUCCAGCCAUGCCGCGUGUCUGAAGAAGGCCUUCGGUUGUAAGGUAC